Molecule: non-coding RNA, 89 nt
Organism: Paxillus ammoniavirescens
Lineage: Eukaryota; Fungi; Basidiomycota; Agaricomycetes; Boletales; Paxillaceae
Source: the annotation of a GenBank genome assembly
UCGGAUAUGGUGUAACGGUUUAACAUGGCUGUCUUUCACCUGAGUCAGCUGGAUCACAGCAGCCCCGGGUUCGACUCCCGGUAUCCGAA